GGGGGUAUAGCUCAGCUUGGAGAGCGCUUGCAUGGCAUGCAAGAGGUCGGCGGUUCGAUCCCGCCUAGCUCCACCA
RNAcentral lists this transfer RNA (76 nucleotides) under Pseudomonadales bacterium. Its description in RNAcentral is "tRNA-Ala". It matches the Rfam family "tRNA". Rfam says of the family: Transfer RNA (tRNA) molecules are approximately 80 nucleotides in length. Their secondary structure includes four short double-helical elements and three loops (D, anti-codon, and T loops). The record is from RNAcentral. Lineage: Bacteria; Pseudomonadati; Pseudomonadota; Gammaproteobacteria; Pseudomonadales.